AGAGUUUGAUCCUGGCUCAGGAUGAACGCUAGCGGCAGGCUUAACACAUGCAAGUCGAGGGGUAGAAGGAGCUUGCUCCUUUGAGACCGGCGCACGGGUGCGUAACGCGUAUGCAAUCUACCUUGUACAGGGGGAUAGCCCAGAGAAAUUUGGAUUAAUACCCCAUAGUGUAACGAAAAGGCAUCUUUUUGUUACUAAAGUUCCAACGGUACAAGAUGAGCAUGCGUCCCAUUAGCUAGUUGGUGUGGUAACGGCAUACCAAGGCAACGAUGGGUAGGGGUCCUGAGAGGGAGAUCCCCCACACUGGUACUGAGACACGGACCAGACUCCUACGGGAGGCAGCAGUGAGGAAUAUUGGUCAAUGGGCGCAAGCCUGAACCAGCCAUGCCGCGUGCAGGGUGACGGUCCUAUGGAUUGUAAACUGCUUUUGUACAGGAAGAAACACUCCCUCGUGAGGGAGCUUGACGGUACUGUAAGAAUAAGGAUCGGCUAACUCCGUGCCAGCAGCCGCGGUAAUACGGAGGAUCCAAGCGUUAUCCGGAAUCAUUGGGUUUAAAGGGUCCGUAGGCGGUUUUAUAAGUCAGUGGUGAAAUCUGGUCGCUCAACGAUCAAACGGCCAUUGAUACUGUAGAACUUGAAUUACUUGGAAGUAACUAGAAUAUGUAGUGUAGCGGUGAAAUGCUUAGAGAUUACAUGGAAUACCAAUUGCGAAGGCAGGUUACUACGAGUAUAUUGACGCUGAUGGACGAAAGCGUGGGGAGCGAACAGGAUUAGAUACCCUGGUAGUCCACGCCGUAAACGUUGGGUGCUAGGUGUCGCGGGUAUUGACCCCUGCGGUGCCGACGCUACGCAUUUAGCACCCCGCCUGGGGAGUACGGUCGCAAGGCUAAAACUCAAAGGAAUUGACGG
This 909-nucleotide ribosomal RNA is filed under the name uncultured bacterium. RNAcentral describes it as "bacterial SSU rRNA". It matches the Rfam family "Bacterial small subunit ribosomal RNA", at positions 8 to 916 of the family's 1533-position model. The record is from RNAcentral.